GUGGGGAAUUUUGCGCAAUGGGCGAAAGCCUGACGCAGCAACGCCGCGUGGAGGAUGAAGGCCUUCGGGUCGUAAACUCCUGUCAGGGGGGACGAAAGCCGCGAAAGCGGAUUGACUGUACCCUCUGAGGAAGCCACGGCUAACUCCGUGCCAGCAGCCGCGGUAAUACGGAGGUGGCAAGCGUUGUUCGGAAUUACUGGGCGUAAAGGGCGCGUAGGCGGCUUUGCAAGUCAGAUGUGAAAGCCCCGGGCUUAACUUGGGAAUUGCAUCUGAAACUGCUUUGCUUGAGUCCUGGAGGGGGUAGUGGAAUUCCCAGUGUAGCGGUGAAAUGCGUAGAUAUUGGGAGGAACACCUGCGGCGAAGGCGGCUACCUGGACAGUGACUGACGCUGAGGCGCGAAAGCUAGGGGAGCAAACGGGAUUAGAAACCCGAGUAGUCC
This 439-nucleotide ribosomal RNA is filed under the name uncultured bacterium. Its description in RNAcentral is "bacterial SSU rRNA". It matches the Rfam family "Bacterial small subunit ribosomal RNA", at positions 354 to 796 of the family's 1533-position model. The record is from RNAcentral.